This 595-nucleotide ribosomal RNA is filed under the name Microbotryum salviae. Its description in RNAcentral is "LSU rRNA". It matches the Rfam family "Eukaryotic large subunit ribosomal RNA", at positions 76 to 667 of the family's 3401-position model. The record is from RNAcentral. Lineage: Eukaryota; Fungi; Basidiomycota; Microbotryomycetes; Microbotryales; Microbotryaceae.
UCCCCUAGUAACGGCGAGUGAAGCGGGAAAAGCUCAAAUUUGUAAUCUGGCGCCUUCGGCGUCCGAGUUGUAAUCUCGAGAAGUAUUUUCCGCGCUGGACCGCACAUAAGUCUGUUGGAAUACAGCGUCAUAGUGGUGAGAACCCCGUAUAUGGUGCGGAUGCCCAGUGCUUUGUGAUAUACUUUCGAAGAGUCGAGUUGUUUGGGAAUGCAGCUCAAAUUGGGUGGUAAAUUCCAUCUAAAGCUAAAUACUGGCGAGAGACCGAUAGCGAACAAGUACCGUGAGGGAAAGAUGAAAAGCACUUUGGAAAGAGAGUUAACAGUACGUGAAAUUGUUGGAAGGGAAACGCUUGAAGUCAGACUUGCAUUUUGGAGUUCAGCCGCAAGGUGUACUCUUCAAUUCGCAGGCCAGCAUCAGUUUUCGGGGGUGGAAAAUCGUGGUUUGAAGGUAGCAGUCUCGGCUGUGUUAUAGCUUUCCGCUGGAUUCACUUUUGGGGACUGAGGAACGCAGUACGCUUUUUGCAAGACUCUCGAGUCUUUCGUACUUAGGAUGCUGGUGGAAUGGCUUUAAACGACCCGUCUUGAAACCACGGACC